GCUUACGGCCACACCACCCUGAGCGCGCCCGAUCUCGUCUGAUCUCGGAAGCUAAGCAGCAGGGUCGGGCCUGGUUAGUACUUGGAUGGGAGACCGCCUGGGAAUACCAGGUGCCGUAAGCU
This 122-nucleotide ribosomal RNA is filed under the name Lates calcarifer (barramundi perch). Lineage: Eukaryota; Metazoa; Chordata; Actinopteri; Centropomidae. The record is from RNAcentral.